CAUAAAAGUUAGUGGUAUAUAAGAAACACUUUUGUAGAUUUUUUGUAUUGUGAAAUAUUCAACUUUGCAGUAAAAUAGAAGUGAAAAUGAAUAAUUUUUUUAUUCUAUCUUUGACUGUCUGUUGCACUUAUAUAAUACCUUCUAAUGCAGACCUGACGGUUGAACAAACAGAAAUUUUUUUAAAAAAUAAUAGGGACCAAUUACGUUCUCUGGAAGUUG
Molecule: long non-coding RNA, 219 nt
Organism: Leptopilina heterotoma
Lineage: Eukaryota; Metazoa; Arthropoda; Insecta; Hymenoptera; Figitidae
Exons: 5
Source: RefSeq, a predicted model, not a curated record